RNAcentral lists this ribosomal RNA (1329 nucleotides) under Neomassaria sp. RNAcentral's name for it is "SSU rRNA". It matches the Rfam family "Eukaryotic small subunit ribosomal RNA", at positions 111 to 1121 of the family's 1831-position model. Lineage: Eukaryota; Fungi; Ascomycota; Dothideomycetes; Pleosporales; Neomassariaceae. The record is from RNAcentral.
UAUCGUUUAUUUGAUAGUACCUUUCUACUAGGAUAACCGUGGUAAUUCUAGAGCUAAUACUUGCUAAAAACCCCGACUUCGGAAGGGGUGUAUUUAUUAGAUAAAAAACCAAUGCCCUUCGGGGCUCUCUGGUGAUUCAUCAUAACUUAACGGAUCGCAUGGCCUUGCGCCGGCGACGGUUCAUUCAAAUUUCUGCCCUAUCAACUUUCGAUGGUAAGGUAUUGGCUUACCAUGGUUUCAACGGGUAACGGGGAAUUAGGGUUCGACUCCGGAGAAGGAGCCUGAGAAACGGCUACUACAUCCAAGGAAGGCAGCAGGCGCGCAAAUUACCCAAUCCCGACACGGGGAGGUAGUGACAAUAAAUACUGAUACAGGGCGCUUUUGCGUCUUGUAAUUGGAAUGAGUACAAUUUAAACCCCUUAACGAGGAACAAUUGGAGGGCAAGUCUGGUGAAGUCUCAGCUUCCAUCUCUGCUGACGCCAGAUAGAGUUUGCAUAGCAAGCUAGUCGAGCACCCAUAAAUGAUGGGAGGGUAGCCGGCAAGACAACCUUAUUCGGAGGAGACUACGGCACUUUUAGGAGUGUUAGGUUAAUUCCGAGCAGUGCGAAAGCGAGGUGACUCGCCUAUAGCCUGUGUAGAGCGCGGUAAGGUGUCGGCCAAUUCAGACGAAUUGGCUUAAGGUACGUGCCAUUUCCAUCUGAAAGGAUGGCUGUCAGGAAUAGCGCCCAUCGCGCGAAGACUGAUGGGGGUCAGAAAAGCGUUUCUGAUUUACUUUCAAGGCCAGCAGCCGCGGUAAUUCCAGCUCCAAUAGCGUAUAUUAAAGUUGUUGCAGUUAAAAAGCUCGUAGUUGAACCUUGGGCCUGGCUGGCCGGUCCGCCUCACCGCGUGUACUGGUCCGGCCGGGCCUUUCCUUCUGGAGAACUGCAUGCCCUUUACUGGGUGUGUUAGGGAACCAGGACUUUUACUUUGAAAAAAUUAGAGUGUUCAAAGCAGGCCUUUGCUCGAAUACGUUAGCAUGGAAUAAUAGAAUAGGACGUGUGGUUCUAUUUUGUUGGUUUCUAGGACCGCCGUAAUGAUUAAUAGGGAUAGUCGGGGGCAUCAGUAUUCAAUUGUCAGAGGUGAAAUUCUUGGAUUUAUUGAAGACUAACUACUGCGAAAGCAUUUGCCAAGGAUGUUUUCAUUAAUCAGUGAACGAAAGUUAGGGGAUCGAAGACGAUCAGAUACCGUCGUAGUCUUAACCGUAAACUAUGCCGACUAGGGAUCGGGCGAUGUUAUUAUUUUGACUCGCUCGGCACCUUACGAGAAAUCAAAGUUUUUGGGUCCGGGGGG